RNAcentral lists this transfer RNA (78 nucleotides) under Elusimicrobiota bacterium. RNAcentral describes it as "Elusimicrobia bacterium (anaerobic digester metagenome) tRNA-Val". It matches the Rfam family "tRNA". From Rfam's summary of the family: Transfer RNA (tRNA) molecules are approximately 80 nucleotides in length. Their secondary structure includes four short double-helical elements and three loops (D, anti-codon, and T loops). Lineage: Bacteria; Pseudomonadati; Elusimicrobiota. The record is from RNAcentral.
GGACCCGUAGCUCAGUUUGGUUAGAGCGCUUCCUUGACAUGGAAGAGGUCAGAGGUUCGAGUCCUCUCGGGUCCACCA